Molecule: long non-coding RNA, 532 nt
Organism: Crotalus tigris (Tiger rattlesnake)
Lineage: Eukaryota; Metazoa; Chordata; Lepidosauria; Squamata; Viperidae
Exons: 2
Source: RefSeq, a predicted model, not a curated record
CAGGCUCGGAAAAGGAGCCCUGGGCCCUUCCCCAACCACAGCCAAGCUAGAAGAUGAGCUGCAGGCAAAAUGCAAACUACAGCCCUGCACUCCGCCCUCCCCUCCGAGGACCAGACUGUCUCCAACAAGCAGCUGGCUGACAGCUACAGAAGAGUCUCUGCCAUACCUGGAAAUGCCAAGAAUGGAACACAAGAUAUUUUACACAGCCUUCCCAUGAAAACUGCUGUUUAUACUUAGUUGUAUUUAAAACACACAUGCAAGCCUAAAAGAAGUGAGCAAUAAUUUCUAUUGGGACCGUGCAGAUAAAGACAAACAAGCCAAAUCUCAGUAAAUCAACUUAAAUUCCAGGAUUCCUCAAUAUAGAGAGAACAACACAUUCUGCAGUCAACGCAGGCAGACAAAAGAAGAUGCAGAUCUCUGGUCCAAGAGCCACAGAUGACCUUUGAAAGCCCUGUGUAACUCUCUCCAAGGAUACACCCAAUGGUUUAAAUGCUAAUGUAACAUAAAGAAGUUAUUAAAUACAUUACAGAAA